This 508-nucleotide ribosomal RNA is filed under the name uncultured bacterium. RNAcentral describes it as "partial 16S ribosomal RNA". It matches the Rfam family "Bacterial small subunit ribosomal RNA", at positions 28 to 523 of the family's 1533-position model. The record is from RNAcentral.
GAUGAACGCUAGCUACAGGCUUAACACAUGCAAGUCGAGGGGAAACGAUAGAGAAAGCUUGCUUUUUCUAGGCGUCGACCGGCGCACGGGUGAGUAACGCGUAUCCAACCUGCCCAUCACUUGGGGAUAACCUUGCGAAAGUAAGACUAAUACCCAAUGAUAUCUCUAGAAGACAUCUGAAGGAGAUUAAAGAAUUAUCGGUGAUGGAUGGGGAUGCGUCUGAUUAGCUUGUUGGCGGGGUAACGGCCCACCAAGGCGACGAUCAGUAGGGGUUCUGAGAGGAAGGUCCCCCACAUUGGAACUGAGACACGGUCCAAACUCCUACGGGAGACAGCAGUGAGGAAUAUUGGUCAAUGGACGAGAGUCUGAGCCAGCCAAGUAGCGUGCAGGAUGACGGCCCUAUGGGUUGUAAACUGCUUUUAUAAGGGAAUAAAGUGAGUCUCGUGAGACUUUUUGCAUGUACCUUAUGAAUAAGGACCGGCUAAUUCCGUGCCAGCCGCCGCGGUAA